CGCAGGUUCGAAUCCUGCACGACCCACCAGUUUUAACAUCGAAGACAGAUGUUAAGCGUGUAGGAUAACGUUGCGUCAGCAACGGCCCGUAGGGCGAGCGAAGCGAGUCAUCCUGCACGACCCACCA
This 127-nucleotide small RNA is filed under the name Escherichia coli. RNAcentral's name for it is "partial RtT sRNA". It matches the Rfam family "RtT RNA", at positions 36 to 130 of the family's 130-position model. From Rfam's summary of the family: This family represents a bacterial cis-regulatory element known as RtT RNA. The exact function of RtT is unknown although it is thought that it may be involved in changing the cellular response in relation to amino acid starvation. The record is from RNAcentral. Lineage: Bacteria; Pseudomonadati; Pseudomonadota; Gammaproteobacteria; Enterobacterales; Enterobacteriaceae.